CGGACGGGUGAGUAACGCGUGGGGAACCUGCCCUGUACAGGGGGAUAACACUUAGAAAUAGGUGCUAAUACCGCAUAAGCGCACAGUAUCGCAUGAUACAGUGUGGAAAACUCCGGUGGUACAGGAUGGACCCGCGUCUGAUUAGCUGGUUGGCGGGGUAACGGCCCACCAAGGCGACGAUCAGUAGCCGGCCUGAGAGGGUGAACGGCCACAUUGGGACUGAGACACGGCCCAAACUCCUACGGAAGGCAGCAG
RNAcentral lists this ribosomal RNA (255 nucleotides) under uncultured bacterium. Its description in RNAcentral is "partial 16S ribosomal RNA". It matches the Rfam family "Bacterial small subunit ribosomal RNA", at positions 99 to 354 of the family's 1533-position model. The record is from RNAcentral.